UGGCUGCUCUUGCAUAUGUGUAUCCCAUUCCCCAGAACAGUCAUCAGAUUGUUUCUCAAUCGGCUGCUGCUCGGAUGUUGUAGCAUCAUCUUCCUCAUGUUCUACAUCUGCAUCAUGUCCUUUUCUUCCUCGCCCUUGACCUUGUUUUGGUUCCUUCGUCUGUAUGAUAGA
This 171-nucleotide small RNA is filed under the name Arabidopsis thaliana (thale cress). RNAcentral describes it as "ATSL126500". The record is from RNAcentral. Lineage: Eukaryota; Viridiplantae; Streptophyta; Magnoliopsida; Brassicales; Brassicaceae.